AGAGUUUGAUCCUGGCUCAGGACGAACGCUGGCGGCGUGCUUAACACAUGCAAGUCGAGCGGUAAGGCCCUUCGGGGUACACGAGCGGCGAACGGGUGAGUAACACGUGGGUGAUCUGCCCUGCACUUCGGGAUAAGCCUGGGAAACUGGGUCUAAUACCGGAUAUGACCAUUGAUCGCAUGGUUGGUGGUGGAAAGAUUUAUCGGUGCAGGAUGGGCCCGCGGCCUAUCAGCUUGUUGGUGGGGUAAUGGCCUACCAAGGCGACGACGGGUAGCCGGCCUGAGAGGGCGAUCGGCCACACUGGGACUGAGACACGGCCCAGACUCCUACGGGAGGCAGCAGUGGGGAAUAUUGCACAAUGGGCGAAAGCCUGAUGCAGCGACGCCGCGUGAGGGAUGACGGCCUUCGGGUUGUAAACCUCUUUCAGCAGGGACGAAGCGCAAGUGACGGUACCUGCAGAAGAAGCACCGGCCAACUACGUG
RNAcentral lists this ribosomal RNA (482 nucleotides) under uncultured Nocardiaceae bacterium. RNAcentral's name for it is "bacterial SSU rRNA". It matches the Rfam family "Bacterial small subunit ribosomal RNA", at positions 8 to 507 of the family's 1533-position model. Lineage: Bacteria; Bacillati; Actinomycetota; Actinomycetes; Mycobacteriales; Nocardiaceae. The record is from RNAcentral.